This 484-nucleotide ribosomal RNA is filed under the name uncultured bacterium. RNAcentral describes it as "partial 16S ribosomal RNA". It matches the Rfam family "Bacterial small subunit ribosomal RNA", at positions 30 to 507 of the family's 1533-position model. The record is from RNAcentral.
AUUGAACGCUAGCGGGAUGCCUUACACAUGCAAGUCGAACGGCAGCGCGGACUUCUGUCUGGCGGCGAGUGGCCAACGGGUGAGUAAUGUAUCGGAACAUGCCCAGUAGCUGGGGAUAACUACACGACAGCAUAGCUAAUACCGCAUACGCCAUACGUGGGAACGCCAGGGAUCGUAAGACCUUGCACUAUUGGCGCUGCCUAUAUCGGAUUAGCUAGUUGGUGAGGUAACGGCUCACCAAGGCGACGAUCCAUAGCUGGUCUGAGAGGACGACCAGCCACACUGGGACUGAGACACGGUCCAGACUCCUACGGGAGGCAGCAGUAGGGAAUUUUGGACAAUGGGGGCAAGCCUGAUGCAGCCACGCCGCGUGAGUGAUGAAGGCCUUCGGGUCGUAAAGCACUUUUGGCAGGAAAGAAACGACGCGGGAGAAUCCGCCGUGGAAUUGACGGUACCUGAAGAAUAAGCACCGGCUAACUACGUG